Molecule: non-coding RNA, 24 nt
Filed under: Cricetulus griseus (Chinese hamster)
Lineage: Eukaryota; Metazoa; Chordata; Mammalia; Rodentia; Cricetidae
Also listed under: 1 other name
Source: RNAcentral
GUAUUGCAGUACCUCCAGGAACGG